RNAcentral lists this ribosomal RNA (509 nucleotides) under uncultured bacterium. RNAcentral's name for it is "bacterial SSU rRNA". It matches the Rfam family "Bacterial small subunit ribosomal RNA", at positions 30 to 518 of the family's 1533-position model. The record is from RNAcentral.
AUUGAACGCUGGCGGCGUGCUUAACACAUGCAAGUCGAACGCGAAAGGGGACUUCGGUCCUGAGUAAAGUGGCGCACGGGUGAGUAACGCGUGGAUAAUCUGCCCUUAUGAUCGGGAUAACAGUUGGAAACGGCUGCUAAUACCGGAUACGCUCAAAAUGAACUUUUUGAGGAAAGAUGGCCUCUGCUUGCAUGCUAUCACGUAAGGAUGAGUCCGCGUCCCAUUAGCUUGUUGGCGGGUAACGGCCCACCAAGGCAACGAUGGGUAGCCGAUUUGAGAGGAUGAUCGGCCAUACUGGAACUGAAACACGGUCCAGACUCCUACGGGAGGCAGCAGUGGGGAAUAUUGCGCAAUGGGCGAAAGCCUGACGCAGCGACGCCGCGUGAGGGAUGAAAAGGUUUUCGGAUCGUAAACCUCUGUCAGAAGGGAAGAAACUACGUUGUGCUAAUCAGCAGCGUACUGACGGUACCUUCAAAGGAAGCACCGGCUAACUCCGUGCCAGCAGCUGC